RNAcentral lists this transfer RNA (103 nucleotides) under Eutypa lata. RNAcentral's name for it is "tRNA-Gln". It matches the Rfam family "tRNA". From Rfam's summary of the family: Transfer RNA (tRNA) molecules are approximately 80 nucleotides in length. RNAcentral also lists the same sequence under 1 other name. The record is from RNAcentral. Lineage: Eukaryota; Fungi; Ascomycota; Sordariomycetes; Xylariales; Diatrypaceae.
GAUUGUAUAGUCUAGUGGUCAGGACGUGGGAUUCUGAAAGAGUUGCAUUUAGUAACUACUCUAGGAAUUUCCCGAAGCCCCGGUUCGAUCCCGGGUACGAUCU